GUGUCAGCCGCCGCGGUAAUACGAACCGUCCAAACGUUACUCGGAAUCACUGGGCUUAAAGGGUGCGUAGGCCGCUCGGAGGGUGGGAUGUGAAAUCCCCCAGCUCAACUGGGGAAUAGCGUCCCAAACCGCCGGGCUUGAGGGAGACAGAGGUCAGCGGAACUGAUGGUGGAGCGGUGAAAUGCGUUGAUAUCAUCAGGAACACCAGUGGCGAAAGCGGCUGACUGGGUCUUUCCUAACGCUGAGGCACGAAAGCUAGGGGAGCGAACGGGAUUAGAUACCCUCGUAGUCC
This 292-nucleotide ribosomal RNA is filed under the name uncultured bacterium. Its description in RNAcentral is "partial 16S ribosomal RNA". It matches the Rfam family "Bacterial small subunit ribosomal RNA", at positions 505 to 796 of the family's 1533-position model. The record is from RNAcentral.